RNAcentral lists this ribosomal RNA (301 nucleotides) under uncultured bacterium. RNAcentral describes it as "partial 16S ribosomal RNA". It matches the Rfam family "Bacterial small subunit ribosomal RNA", at positions 509 to 808 of the family's 1533-position model. The record is from RNAcentral.
CAGUAGCCGCGGUAAUACGUAGGUGGCAAGCGUUGUCCGGAAUUAUUGGGCGUAAAGCGCGCGCAGGUGGUUUAAUAAGUCUGAUGUGAAAGCCCACGGCUCAACCGUGGAGGGUCAUUGGAAACUGUUAAACUUGAGUGCAGGAGAGAAAAGUGGAAUUCCUAGUGUAGCGGUGAAAUGCGUAGAGAUUAGGAGGAACACCAGUGGCGAAGGCGGCUUUUUGGCCUGUAACUGACACUGAGGCGCGAAAGCGUGGGGAGCAAACAGGAUUAGAACCCCUGUAGUCCCUGUCUCUUAUACA